UGCCUCUGGAACAUGCUUACACAGA
This 25-nucleotide non-coding RNA is filed under the name Mus musculus (house mouse). Lineage: Eukaryota; Metazoa; Chordata; Mammalia; Rodentia; Muridae. The record is from RNAcentral.